GGGUAAAUAACAAAAUCUACUGACAGCUACUGAUGAACUGGUGGAGGUUGGCAGCUGUGGGAUUACACCCCGUUUCGAUUUGUCACCGUCGACAGACAAAAUCGACCGUAGCAGCUCUUACCACCGGGAACAUCGCCCUUCUGAUGAUUCUUGUAAUAUACCUGAGGCCCAUAAACGGACUGACUUCCGACGAAAAAUACAACCGAGAGAAUUCGCAAAUAUCGAGAGCAUAUGCCCGUGCUCGUGAAGUCAGAGGGAUUCGGCCUGGAAAUCUUCAGACUGCCCGGGACUUCGGCAAAAGGAAUCAGCGGUUCCAGGAGAUAAACCCGCAGCCUGGUCGCGAACCAAAGAGAUAUCCUAGCCAAUGGUUUCUGGAACGAUUGCGAAGGGAUCCCGAAGAAACGAGAGAAUAUGAGCGAGUUCUACUGAAGGCCGGCCACCACAGUGAUUUGACGACCAAAAUCAUGCUCGAGUUCAUAAAAAUUCUUUGAU
This is a long non-coding RNA of Diachasmimorpha longicaudata, 492 nucleotides long. RefSeq lists it as uncharacterized. Lineage: Eukaryota; Metazoa; Arthropoda; Insecta; Hymenoptera; Braconidae. The transcript has 3 exons. The record is from RefSeq and is a predicted model, not a curated record.